Long non-coding RNA from Cyprinus carpio carpio, 401 nucleotides. NCBI's taxonomy places the organism in Eukaryota, Metazoa, Chordata, Actinopteri, Cypriniformes, Cyprinidae. The record is from Ensembl.
GAAGCAGUCAUUUCUGCAAAAGGAUUCCCGACCAACUGUUUGGACUCUCAUUCUGACGGCACCCAUUCACCUCAGAGGAUCCAUUGGUGAGCAAAUGAUAAUGCUAAAUCUCUCCAAAUCUGUUCCGAUGAAGAAACAAACUCAUCUACAUCCUGGACAGCCUGAGGUGCCCGAGAGUGACAGCCAGCUGAACUACACACUUCUCCUUGACUGUUCCAGAUGGCUGGAAAAGCAGCUCGUACCCCACCACAAAACCACAAAUUAGAAUUAUGAACUGUUACAAAUUCAGUCAAGCAUCUGAAGGUCAGCUUUUCAAAUUCAACUCUACACAAGCUCAUAUGAGAGUAUGAGACUAUUAGCUCUAGUCCUCUAAACUGAGAAGAGUUCUAUGUUUAAGCCAG